GCAAGUCGAACGAUGAUGCCCAGCUUGCUGGGUGGAUUAGUGGCGAACGGGUGAGUAACACGUGAGUAACCUGCCCCUGACUCUGGGAUAAGCGUUGGAAACGACGUCUAAUACUGGAUAUGAUCACUGGCCGCAUGGUCUGGUGGUGGAAAGAUUUUUUGGUUGGGGAUGGAUUCGCUCCUUAUCAGCUUGUUGGUGAGGUAAUGGCUCACCAAGGCGACGACGGGUAGCCGGCCUGAGAGGGUGACCGGCCACACUGGGACUGAGACACGGCCCAGACUCCUACGGGAGGCAGCAGUGGGGAAUAUUGCACAAUGGGCGAAAGCCUGAUGCAGCAACGCCGCGUGAGGGAUGACGGCCUUCGGGUUGUAAACCUCUUUUAGUAGGGAAGAAGCGAAAGUGACGGUACCUGCAGAAAAAGCACCGGCUAACUACGUGCCAGCAGCCGCGGUAAUACGUAGGGUGCAAGCGUUGUCCGGAAUUAUUGGGCGUAAAGAGCUCGUAGGCGGUUUGUCGCGUCUGCUGUGAAAUCCCGAGGCUCAACCUCGGGCUUGCAGUGGGUACGGGCAGACUAGAGUGCGGUAGGGGAGAUUGGAAUUCCUGGUGUAGCGGUGGAAUGCGCAGAUAUCAGGAGGAACACCGAUGGCGAAGGCAGAUCUCUGGGCCGUAACUGACGCUGAGGAGCGAAAGCAUGGGGAGCGAACAGGAUUAGAUACCCUGGUAGUCCAUGCCGUAAACGUUGGGCGCUAGAUGUAGGGACCUUUCCACGGUUUCUGUGUCGUAGCUAACGCAUUAAGCGCCCCGCCUGGGGAGUACGGCCGCAAGGCUAAAACUCAAAGGAAUUGACGGGGGCCCGCACAAGCGGCGGAGCAUGCGGAUUAAUUCGAUGCAACGCGAAGAACCUUACCAAGGCUUGACAUACACCGGAAACGGCCAGAGAUGGUCGCCCCCUUGUGGUCGGUGUACAGGUGGUGCAUGGUUGUCGUCAGCUCGUGUCGUGAGAUGUUGGGUUAAGUCCCGCAACGAGCGCAACCCUCGUUCUAUGUUGCCAGCGGGUUAUGCCGGG
Molecule: ribosomal RNA, 1066 nt
Filed under: Curtobacterium sp.
Lineage: Bacteria; Bacillati; Actinomycetota; Actinomycetes; Micrococcales; Microbacteriaceae
Description: bacterial SSU rRNA
Rfam family: Bacterial small subunit ribosomal RNA
Source: RNAcentral